RNAcentral lists this ribosomal RNA (833 nucleotides) under uncultured Pseudomonadota bacterium. Its description in RNAcentral is "bacterial SSU rRNA". It matches the Rfam family "Bacterial small subunit ribosomal RNA", at positions 8 to 823 of the family's 1533-position model. The record is from RNAcentral. Lineage: Bacteria; Pseudomonadati; Pseudomonadota.
AGAGUUUGAUCCUGGCUCAGAUUGAACGCUGGCGGUAGGCUUAACACAUGCAAGUCGAGCGAGAAAGUAUCUUCGGAUAUGAGUAGAGCGGCGGACGGGUGAGUAACGCGUAGGAAUCUACCUAGUAGAAGGGGAUAGCCCGGGGAAACUCGGAUUAAUACCGUAUACCUCCUAAGGGAGAAAGAGGGCCUCUCUUGAUGCUCUCGCUAUUAGAUGAGCCUGCGUAAGAUUAGCUUGUUGGUAAGGUAAUGGCUUACCAAGGCUACGAUCUUUAGCUGGUCUGAGAGGACGAUCAGCCACAUUGGGACUGAGACACGGCCCAGACUCCUACGGGAGGCAGCAGUGGGGAAUAUUGGACAAUGGGCGCAAGCCUGAUCCAGCCAUACCGCGUGUGUGAAGAAGGCCUUCGGGUUGUAAAGCACUUUAAGCAGGGAGAAAAAGUUAUAAGUUAAUACCUUAUAACCGUGAUGUUACCUGCAGAAUAAGCCCCAGUUAAUGCCGUGCCCCCCGCCACUACAAUACGGGAGGUGCUUGCUCUAAUCUACUGUACUGGGCGCACACCGCGCGGGUGUGGUUUGUUAGAUGGGAUGUCAAAGCCCUGGGCUCAACCACUGCAUCGCAUACUAACUCAACUCACUACAAUACAAUGAAGUGAGAUUCAAUUCGUAGCGUAGCGAUGCAUAGCUUAUAUAUAAUAUACAAUAGCAGAGGGCAACGUCGCGUCUUGGAUCUGAACUGACGCUGAGGAGCCAAGGCGAGCGUACCGGACUAGAUUACAUGCCGACGAGACAUUGUCUUGGCGUGGCUCACCUUAUAAUUUGUCUCUCGCCUGU